AAUACAGGGGGGGCAAGCGUUGUUCGGAAUUACUGGGCGUAAAGGGCUCGUAGGCGGCCAACUAAGUCCGACGUGAAAUCCCAAAGCUUAACUUUGGAACUGCGUCGGAUACUGGAUGGCUUGAAUUCGGGAGAGGGAUGCAGAAUUCCAGGUGUAGCGGUGAAAUGCGUAGAUAUCUGGAGGAAUACCGGUGGCGAAGGCGGCAUCCUGGACCGACAUUGACGCUGAGGAGCGAAAGCUAGGGGAGCAAACGGG
Molecule: ribosomal RNA, 255 nt
Filed under: uncultured prokaryote
Description: partial 16S ribosomal RNA
Rfam family: Bacterial small subunit ribosomal RNA
Source: RNAcentral